Molecule: long non-coding RNA, 680 nt
Filed under: Homo sapiens (human)
Lineage: Eukaryota; Metazoa; Chordata; Mammalia; Primates; Hominidae
Description: HSALNT0180860
Source: RNAcentral
CGUUUCCAAUACAGCCUGUGAAACUGUGUCCUGAGGGAGAAGCUGGUGCCCUUUAUCACACAGCUAACAACGCUCCUGGCCCAUGGAUCAGAGAAGUUGAAGGAAAAUACAGAGGAAGUUCUAACAGUGGCAGACCUAAUUACUGCACCAUGCCAAGCAGGUAAUCCAGCAGGAGUGGUGACAGUUUGAGACAAGGACAAGAGCACCAGACUUCAGAACUUGACAUCCACAAAAUGUAAAUAAGAUGAAAGUUCAGCUCUGUCAUUUGACAUAUGAGUUCCGCCCUCUGCCCCUACUCCUAGCAACUCUCUGAGCCUCAGCUCUGCCUUCAGUAAGUCGUUCCUUUCCAUAAUAGGACAGUGGGAAGAUUUUUUGCUCAUAAAGAACAUGACUAUAGCUAUUGAUUUCUGGGAAAUGUUAAAACAACAAGGUUUUCAAUUCCUUUGUUGACAAGUGAAAAUAUUUUCUUUGUUAACUAAUGUUUCAGAACUGGGCUUUCUAUAUUGAAGAAAAAUUAAUGAAGAAAAAUAAAUCAAUUUUACAAAAUGUCCCUGAAAAAUUCUACCCCAAACUGUCCUGAGAUUUGCUAGUCAGCAAGCUUAACAUACAAUUUGAAAAAGAAAUAUGAGGUUGAAUCCCCAAGACAGUAAAAGAGUAGACAUCACGGGAGGACAUUAUUC